This 592-nucleotide ribosomal RNA is filed under the name Tenuisentis niloticus. RNAcentral describes it as "SSU rRNA". It matches the Rfam family "Eukaryotic small subunit ribosomal RNA", at positions 758 to 1349 of the family's 1831-position model. Lineage: Eukaryota; Metazoa; Acanthocephala; Eoacanthocephala; Neoechinorhynchida; Tenuisentidae. The record is from RNAcentral.
UGAGAAAAUUAGCGUGCUCAACGCAGGCGUAACUGCUUGGUAUACUGUAGCAUGGAAUAAUGAGAAAGGACCUCGGUUCUGUUUCGUUGGUUUCCGGAAGCUGAGGUAAUGAUUGAUAGGGACAAACGGGGGCAUUCGUAUUGUGGUGUUAGAGGUGAAAUUCUGUGAUCACCGCAAGACGAACAACUGCGAAAGCAUUUGCCAAGAAUGUUUUCAUUAAUCAAGAACGAAAGUUAGAGUUUCGAAGACGAUUAGAUACCGUCCUCGUUCUAACUAUAAACUAUGCCAACUGGGCAUCUGCGCGAUUGCAUCUAUAGCAUCGGCAGGCACCCUACGGGACACCAAAGUCAACAGGUUCCGGGGGGAGUAUGGUUGCAAAAUCGAAACUUAAAGGAAUUGACGGAGGGGCACACCAGAAGUGGAGCCUGCGGCUCAAUUUGACUCAACGCACGAAAACUUACUCGGUCCGAACACCGUGAGGAUUGACAGGUUGAAAGCUCUUUCUUGAUUCGGUGGGUGGUGGUGCAUGGCCGUUCGUAGUUGGUGGAGUGAUUUGUCUGGUUUAUUCCGAUAACGAACGAGACUCUAGCCU